GGCGGCAUAGCCAAGUGGUAAGGCGACGGUCUGCAAAAUCGUUAUGCUCCAGUUCAAAUCUGGAUGCCGCCU
RNAcentral lists this transfer RNA (72 nucleotides) under bacterium. RNAcentral describes it as "tRNA-Cys". It matches the Rfam family "tRNA". Rfam says of the family: Transfer RNA (tRNA) molecules are approximately 80 nucleotides in length. Their secondary structure includes four short double-helical elements and three loops (D, anti-codon, and T loops). RNAcentral also lists the same sequence under 1 other name. The record is from RNAcentral.